AAAAAAAACUUUUUUAUAAAUAUUAAUUUUUUUUAUUUUUCUUACUAAUUUUUAAAAAUUUAUAUUUUACACUCUCAACAUUUCAAGUUAUUGUAUUUAACCUUCCUCCCUUUCUUAUAAUUUAUACCGAAAAUAUUCUUCAAAAUGAUAAAAUGCAUAAAAAUUUAUUUUAUUUCUUCUCCAUUAAAUGAAAAUAUUUUUGAAAUUUUAAGGGACAAAAUAUAAAUUUUUGAAAGUCAAAAAAAAAUAAAAAAGUGAAUAUUUACGGGAGGUUUUUAUAUUAUUUAG
RNAcentral lists this long non-coding RNA (288 nucleotides) under Ananas comosus (pineapple). RNAcentral's name for it is "long non-coding RNA (ACOM_LNC007600)". The record is from RNAcentral. Lineage: Eukaryota; Viridiplantae; Streptophyta; Magnoliopsida; Poales; Bromeliaceae.